CGAGUACGACCCGUUACGACGGGGAAGUGUCUGAUGUCAGGCUUCCAAGAAAAGCCCGAACCACGUUAAUUCAAAUUGGCCCGUACCCUAAACCGACACAGGUGGGAAGGUAGAGUAUACCCAGGGGCGCGAGAUAACUCUCUCUAAGGAACUCGGCAAAAUGGCCCCGUAACUUCGGGAGAAGGGGUGCCACCGAGAGGUGGUCGCAGUGAAGAGUCCCAGGCGACUGUUUACCAAAAACACAGGUCUCCGCUAAGUCGCAAGACGAUGUAUGGGGGCUGACGCCUGCCCAGUGCCGGAAGGUUAAGGAAGUUGGUCAGGGAGCAAUCCUGAAGCUAGCGACUGAAGCCCCGGUGAACGGCGGCCGUAACUAUAACGGUCCUAAGGUAGCGAAAUUCCUUGUCGGGUAAGUUCCGACCCGCACGAAAGGCGUAACGAUCUGGGAGCUGUCUCGGAGAGAGGCUCUGCGAAAUAGGAAUGUCUGUGAAGAUACGGACUACCUGCACCCGGACAGAAAGACCCUAUGAAGCUUUACUGUAGCUUGGUAUUGGGUUCGGGCUUUGAUUGCGCAGGAUAGGUGGGAGACUAUGAGAUAGCUCUUGUGGGAGUUAUGGAGUCACUGGUGAGAUACCACUCUAUCAAGGCUAGAAUUCUAACUUUGACCCGUUAUCCGGGCAGAGAACAGUAUCAGGUGGGCAGUUUGACUGGGGCGGUCGCCUCCUAAAUGGUAACGGAGGCGCGCAAAGGUUCCCUCAGGCUGGUUGGAAAUCAGCCAUUGAGUGUAAAGGCAUAAGGGAGCUUGACUGCGAGACUGACAAGUCGAGCAGGUACGAAAGUAGGCCUUAGUGAUCCGACGGUUCCGCGUGGAAGGGCCGUCGCUCAACGGAUAAAAGUUACUCUAAGGAUAACAGGCUGAUCUCCCCCAAGAGUUCACAUCGACGGGGAGGUUUGGCACCUCGAUGUCGGCUCAUCGCAACCUGGGGCUGUAGUCGGUCCCAAGGGUUGGGCUGUUCGCCCAUUAAAGCGGUACGUGAGCUGGGUUCAGAACGUCGUGAGACAGUUCGGUCCAUAUCCGGUGCAGGCGUAGGAACAUUGAGAGGAGUCUUCCUUAGUACGAGAGGACCGGGAAGAACGCACCGCUGGUGUACCUGUUAUCGUGCCAACGGUAAACGCAGGGUAGCCAAGUGCGGAGAGGAUAACCGCUGAAAGCAUCUAAGUGGGAAGCCCACCUCAAGAUGAGUGUUCCCAUGGCAAAAGCCAGUAAGGUCACGGGUAGACCACCCGUUAAUAGGCGCUAGAUGGAAGUCCAGCUAUGGAUGUAGUCGAGGCGUACUAACAGACCGAGGGCUUG
RNAcentral lists this ribosomal RNA (1351 nucleotides) under metagenome. RNAcentral describes it as "bacterial LSU rRNA". It matches the Rfam family "Bacterial large subunit ribosomal RNA", at positions 1564 to 2925 of the family's 2925-position model. The record is from RNAcentral.